RNAcentral lists this transfer-messenger RNA (376 nucleotides) under Nesterenkonia cremea. RNAcentral's name for it is "Standard tmRNA". It matches the Rfam family "transfer-messenger RNA". Rfam says of the family: Bacterial tmRNA, also known as 10Sa RNA or SsrA, is named for its dual tRNA and mRNA-like properties. Its role is to liberate the mRNA from a stalled ribosome. Lineage: Bacteria; Bacillati; Actinomycetota; Actinomycetes; Micrococcales; Micrococcaceae. The record is from Rfam by way of RNAcentral.
GGGGCCGAUCGGUUUCGACGAUCUGAGUUGAGCAUGGGGAAGCGAGCCGUGGACGCCAAGUGACCACGUUAAAACCCCUUGAGCAACCAAUUAAGUGCCGAAUCUAAGCGCACUGACUUCGCCCUCGCUGCCUGAUUGCAGCGACGCGAGUCUGUCAGCCUGAGUCUGCUAUCGCCUCAGUGUCUGGCAUCAGCUAGAUAGCCACUGGACUGUCAUCCUCGUCGUGGGGAUGCCGGUCGAGAUCUCACACGGCUGGGUCUGUCAGGCGCUCGUCUGCGUGACGCCUGGGACCGAGCAACACUAUGAGCAGACUACGCUCGUAGAAGCCCAUGUGAAUCCAGAUCGGACCCGGGUUCAAUUCCCGGCGGCUCCACCA